This 25-nucleotide non-coding RNA is filed under the name Rattus norvegicus (Norway rat). Lineage: Eukaryota; Metazoa; Chordata; Mammalia; Rodentia; Muridae. The record is from RNAcentral.
GAGUGUCCGCCUGAAGAAAGCCUGC